Gopherus flavomarginatus (Mexican gopher tortoise) is the source of this 6407-nucleotide long non-coding RNA. RefSeq lists it as uncharacterized. NCBI's taxonomy places the organism in Eukaryota, Metazoa, Chordata, Testudines, Testudinidae. The transcript is spliced from 3 exons. The record is from RefSeq and is a predicted model, not a curated record.
UACACAUAAGGUGCUUUGCACAGCCUUGACUUUUUUGUUGUUUUUUAUUUUGCUUUUUUGGUUGCCUUUUUUUUUUAGACUUGCUGGCUAGUAAAUCUGCUGCUGUGAAAAGUGAUACUUGUAUGUUAAUAUCAGUUUUCACAGCCUCCCAGCUAGCUACUAAGGCUAUGUCUACACUAUAGACCUUAAUGGCACAGUUGUACCGCUGCAGCUGUGCCACUGUAAGGUCUCCUGUGUAGCUGCUCUAUGCUGGUGGGAGAAGCUCUCCCGCUGGCAUAAUUAAACCACUCCCAAUGAGCAACGGUAGCUAUGUUCGCAGGAGACACUCUCCUGCCAACAUACCGCUGUCCACACCAGUGCUUCUGUCUGUGAAACUUUUGUCAGUCGAGGAUGUUUUGUUCACACACUGACCAACAAAAGUGCUAGUGUAGAUAUAGCCUUAGUCUGCUGUGAAAAGUGAUAUGAACAAACAUACAUUUAUCACUUUUCACAGCAGACUUACUCAACCCUGGCAUGCCAGGAUACAAAUUAAGCCCUGAAUGGUGAGGUAGAUAGGGAGGCAGCGGGGCCAGGGAUGAUAGGGGGAAUGAAUGGGGGCCGGGGGAGGCAGCAGGGGCUGGGGCAAUGGGGGGCGAUGAGCCCAGGGCCAGAGCCAAGUGUCAUAUGGCCAGGGGCCAGAGCUCACGACUGUGCAGCUGGAGGGCAGAGCCCGAAGCCUUGAGCCCGGAGACAGAUCCCAGAGCCUGGAGAUGGAGUCUGAAGCUCUGCAGCUGGAGCCUACCACCCGUCACCCCAGGACUGAAGCCGGACUCCACUACCCCCAGAAAGGUGGGGAACUCACUGGCUGCUUGAUCCUCCAGUGUUUGUGUCUCCAGAGGGGACAAGGCUCAAACCCGGCUAGCAGCCCCAAGGGAGGGACUGCUGCUCCAUCUCCCACCCCUGCAACCAUCACUCCGGAGGCUGUGACCACAAGAAAAGCCCCUGGUAGCCGCAUCUGAGAAACACUGGUCUAGUGAAUUCCUAUUAGGAAGUAACAGUAAAAUGGCAGAUGUCAUAGAGACCUAUAGGAACUAUUCAUAGUUGGAGAAAUUAGAAGCACUGCUGUUUUUCAAAACACUGCUUUUGAAAACAAACUGGUUUUAUUAUUUUCUAGUAGAUAUCCCCCUUGUAGCCAUUUAAUAUAUUAGAACUAAUCAUUUUAGUUAGUUUUCUCUUAGAAUGCAUGCUUAAAUUCCUACAGUAUAUUUCAACUAAGUAAUUAUCAAGUACCUGUCUGGUGAUCGUCUUGACCAACGUCUUCUGUCAGAUUCUGUCCAAGGCAGUGCACAUGAACAGGAGGAGCACCACAGGAUCCCUCACCUGCGACCAGGAGGUGCCCUUGACAAGGCAAUCGUCCAGAUAGGGGAAUAUCUGGACCUCCCGCCACCUGAGAGCUUUCCCAUCAAACAGGAGAUCCUGCAUGGAAGACUGAGCCUCGCUGGACAGCCCAGAGAGAAGAAGCCAUGACGUCCAUCUCAUGGACACCGUGGAGGCCAUUGAUAGUGUGGCCAUGGCCGCAGCAUCCGAAGCUGCCUGCAGGGACGCCCUAGCAGCCGCUGUCCUUUCCUCUACUAAUGCCUUAAACUCCUUCCUAUCAUGUUUCUGGAGGGAGUCCUCAAACUUAGGCAGGGAGCCCCACUAAUGGCAUUCGUACCGGCCCAGGAGAGCCUGAUGGUUCGCCACUUAUAACUGGAAGCUCAAAGAUGAAUAAAUUUUCCUACCGAACGAGUCCAGUCUCUGAGAGUCUUUGUUCUUUGGAGUAAUGGCUGGCUGACCCUGCCGAUGCCUAUGGUUGACCGGCUCGACCAUCAAGGAGUUGGGCACCAGGUGAGUAUACAAGUACUCAUACCCUUAGGGGGUACAAAGUACUUAUGUUCCACCUUUUUUGAGAUGGGGGCCAACAAGGCCGGUGUUUGCCACAGGGCAUUAGAAAUCUUAGCCACCCCUUCGUGGAGAGGCAAGGCCAACCUUCCCGCUGCCAACGGGGACAAUAGGUUAAACAGGAAGGGCUCCUCCAUCUCCUCUGCCUGGAGGUGUAGGCUUACUGCCACUCUCUUUAAGGGUUCUUGGGGGGGCCCUGGAGUCCUCCUGCAGGACACAGGGCCACAAUCGCCUCCUCCGGGAAGGGCAAAGAGGCCGGUGCAGUGCUCUGGGUGUCAGCUGGCACCAGAAGGUCCACCACCUGGUUGGACUCCAGGCAUGGUGCUGAGGACGUACGUCCCACCAACUCCUUUCUCGGGGGUCUGGAGAGGGAGGUCGACGGUGCUUCCGAAGCUCCAGCCUCCAAGCAAGGUCCCACCAGGGGUGCGCCGGAGGCCACAGUGCCCACUGGUACCAUUUGGCCGGCCACGAUGUUCAGUGCCACUGCAACUGCUGUGGCACUGGCGGGACCAGCUGUCCAGGUUGGCUGGCCCGGACCAUCAAAGGACAGCCACAGAUGGAAACCAGGCUGGCGUACGAUCCACUGCUGUCCCUGGACCAGGAGGAGCAGUGGUGUCAUGAUCUACGACAGCCACGGGACCAUGAUCUCGACAUAGAGGACUGGUACCAAUGGUAAUAGCUGCUCCACAAACGGCCUCGACAGGUGGACCCACGACGGCGAGAUGCCAGCGAUCGAUGCCCGGGGCUGCAAUGUCUUGACGGAGACUUGGAGCGGGAGUCCAAACGGGAACGGCAUCAAUGAAUGUGCCGUGACUGACUGCAGUAUCCUUUCCAAGACGAAGACUGACGGCGAUGCCCACCGCAGUCUCAUCAAUGUUUGCUCCUUGAGGAUGAGCAGUACUGUGAAUCCUGGCCAGACAAAACCCAGCCCGACAGUCUGGUCGGCGUCGAGGGUGAUCCACCUGGACUCUGCCCCAAGCAGAUGCUGGGCGGUGCUCAGCAUCGGUAACGUUCCUUCGACCAAGACCAAUACCGGGUCGGAGGCAACUGCGGAGAUCUCAACAGUAGCUUGCCGCUGGAGCACGGGGCCAACAUCGGCAGCACUCCAGGCACCAGCAUGCAUAUGACAGCCCAGGCUGCCUGAGGGCUUCAGGGGUGGAAGGCAUCCGGACAUCCGGAGAGGCUUGUUCCAAAGAGGCCGGGCUACUCCGCUUAGCUUGAGUCGGAGGCCUGGGGCCCGGUGGGGAUUGAGGACUGCCCAACAUGAAUCUAGCCUCUGGCCCAGCUUUCCCUCAGUGCCGCUGCAAAGAGGGAGUCUUCUUGGGCCUCUUGGUGUGCCCCAUGGACGGGGAGCAGUGCCGACUGGUCAAUGGUACUGGAAGGUUGUCAUGUACCAACACCACGGUGCCAGGUACUGGUUUGGAGUGGCAUGCCAGGGUCGGGGUCAGCCCCAACUACAUUAGGAUGACCCAGAGCCUAACGUCCCUUUCUCUUUUGGUCUAAGGCUUAAACAACUUGCAAAUCUUGCACCUUUCGCUGAUAUGAGUUUCUCCCAAGCAGCGCAAAAAGUCUGUGUGCAGGUCACUUCUUAGCACAGAACGCCUGCAAGAGCCACAUGACUUAAACCCCGGGGCACAGGGCAUGCCCCGGGCUCGGGCUCACUGAUUAACUAAACAGCUAACUAACUACAGGUACUAACACUGAACGAAGGAACAGUUCUGGGGACAAGCUACAACGAAGCUGGAGCAGAGCAGUUCUAAUGCACCUUCACUGGCAGCAAGAAGGAACGGGGGGGGGGGAGCGCAGCUCCCCUUAUACCGUGCCAGGCAGGUGCCACGCCAAGGGUCGCGGAGGGUGGUCCCCCCCACGGGUACUGCUAGGGGAAAAACUUUCGGCACUGGUGCAUGUGGCGAGCAUAUGUCUAUUGUGGAAUACACAUGAGCAAUCACUCAAAGAAGUAACCAUACCUGGGAAAUGGGCUGACCAAUAUGCAGAUAGGUUUUCUAUCAAAUCCAGGUUGACUAAUAGGAAGAGAACAGGAUCAGAGGACAGGAAUCGAGCCGAAGCAAAGACCUGCACCCACGGGGGACAGAAAUCAAGUUCUCAAAAGCCCUGGAUCAGCAAGAAUAAUGGUGUGCCAUAUGUGGCCAGCAGGAUCACUUCGACCAAGAAUGCUCACAACACCCACUGAGUGACAUUGCAGCGCUGGGAACGCCAGCUGCACCUCAACCUCAUAGAGUUAGCUGUGUGACUGAACCUCCAGAGGGAGAAAGUCACACAGCCAGUUUGCAAAUGGCAAAAUUCACAAUCCAUAUCAUUGCAAACAUGUCUUGCUGCCCCUUCAUAGGUGCAAAUCCAUCCAAUCAACAGUGGCAGCAGAAGGUAGUGGUUAAUGGAGAUAAAUUCACUGUAUAGAGAGAUAUGGGGCCAGCCAGGAUUAUAGUUUAGUCCGAUAUAGUGAAGCCCCAUCAAAUGCUGCCACAGUGUGAAAUGUGGGUUAAGGUUCCUGGUGUGAAUGCCUUCAUUCUACUUACAGCACAAAUUUCUACACAGACCCAGAAAGUGUAAGGUGUAUUUUCAGUUAUUCCAUAUUCGUUGCUUUUAGAAAAUGUUAUAGCGUUGAAAACAGAAAGAGUAAACGACUCUCUUAGUUAGCCUAAGACAGAGAAGACAGUAUGUAAGCAAAAAUGUAAAUAGAAUAGCUAACAAGGGAAGAGGGAGUCACAUUCCCCAUUAGAGUCCAAAACAGGGGUAGGUAAACUAUGGCACAGGUGCCGAAGGCGGCACGCGAGCCAAUUUUCUGUGGCACUCACGCUGCCCAGGUCCUGGCCACCGGUCCAGGGGGCUCUUCAAUUUAAUUUAAUUUUAAAUGAAGCUUUUUAAACAUUCUAAAAACCUUAUUUACUUUACAUACAACAAUAGUUUAGUUAUAUAUUACAGACUUAUAGAAAGAGACCUACUAAAAAUGUUAAAAUGUAUUACUGGCACACGAAACCUUAAAUUAGAGUGAACAAAUGAAGAUUCGGCACAUCACUUUUGAAAGGUUGCCGACCUCUGGUCCAAAAAGAAUCAGGUUGCAAUCCCAGUUUGCAAUCUACAAACACCUGAGGAGGAAGGGGAUGAGACUGCCUGCUGCUUCAAAGAAAGGAGAAGACUACUGACUUGAAAGAAAAUUCACUGGGCCCAAAAUAAAGAAAUUAAGCUCUCUGCCAGCUCUUCAAAAGGACCUGUAACGGGACAGAGCAAAAUAAAAGCAGCACAUGUUUGAGAGCCACUGCACAAGGAGGUAGCCCUGACAUAUUUGUCCCUUUGAGCCAAAGAAUGUCUGCUUGUAAUAUUCCCACGGUGGUUGGGGAACCUCAAUCCAGAGCUAAGGCAGCUGACCACUUGGGGAACCAAGAGACACCAUAUAUACUCCCAGGAAAGGGCACGGGAGAUGUGAGAAAAAUUAGGUCUCAAGUUUACACCCAAAAGUUGGGGAGCAACAAAAGCAAGAAGGGGCAUGUAAAAGAUCAGCCUCAUAGGUUCUAUAUUUUGAAGAAUGGUUAUGAAAAAACACUGUACAAAUAUUUAAAGAAAAUACGCUGGCUUGAUAGCAAAAUGUUUGUUACCUAAACAAAUUAAUUGUGAAAUUAUAAAAGGUACUAACAAAACCACCAUCCAGGAAAUAAACCUGUCCAAGCAUUCAGUCCAGGGGCGCCAGAACAGGGUGUGGGAGGCCAAGGGGCCAUGGCCCUCCCACUUUUGAAAAUAGACGGACCUGGCCUAUCCACUUUUUGCCAUGGGCUUGGCCCUCUACACCUCCUCUUCCCCUCAAGCCAGGUCAGAAGCUGCAGCCCAGCCUAGAUAAGAGCUGCUCGAGCAGCUGUGGAGAGCCAGGGACUCUCCACCUGCCUCGGAUGCGGGGGCCGAGAGCAGCCCUCAGUCUGUGCCCCUCCCCCCAGACUCCCACCUAGGGCAGAUGGAGGGUCCGCAGCUCCCCAUAGCUGCCAGAGCAGUUCUUACCAUGGCUUGGCUGCAGCUCUUCGGCUCCUGAGGCCCCGACCCUGGUCAGGCCAGAAGCUGGAGCCUGGCCCGGGUAAGAGGAGCCCAGGGAGCCCAGGCAGCUGUGGGAUGCCACAGACCUUCCACCUGCCCUGGAUGAGGAGUCUGGUGGGCAAAGACACAGGCCAGGGGCUGCUCUCAGGCUCCUCCCCACCCUGGGCAAGUGGAGGCUCUCAAGCCAGGCUCCAGCUUCCAGCUUGGCCAGGGGACAGGGCUUCAGAGGAAAUAGGGAGACAAGGGUGGGGCCACAGGGGAGGUGGGGCCUCAUGGCCCCCCCACUUUCAAGAAGAAUGCAUUGCCCCUGAUUCAGUCAGUGGGAUCCCCUAGGGUGUUAGCCAGCAUCCUAGUUAAACCUACUUCUGUAGGAGGGAGAUAGAAUGCUCUAAUUUCCUGCAAUACUCUAAAUAAACUUAUUAAAUUAAACUUUAAUUAAUUCAUUUUAA